UCAGCAGUUGUUCCAUUGAC
This 20-nucleotide microRNA is filed under the name Schmidtea mediterranea. RNAcentral's name for it is "sme-miR-1992-3p". Lineage: Eukaryota; Metazoa; Platyhelminthes; Tricladida; Dugesiidae. The record is from miRBase by way of RNAcentral.